This 2900-nucleotide long non-coding RNA is filed under the name Cricetulus griseus (Chinese hamster). RNAcentral's name for it is "lncRNA (ENSCGRG00015033707.1)". The record is from RNAcentral. Lineage: Eukaryota; Metazoa; Chordata; Mammalia; Rodentia; Cricetidae.
AGGACUUUGGAAGUUUGGGCAGAAAGCCCACUGAAUGUUCAAAGCUUGGUGACUGCUCUGUGGGAACCUGGAGGAUAAGUGUGUUGAGAGACGUGCAGAGGAUGUGGAGGCCUAGUUUGUGGGGUUCCAGAGGGAAGUUUGAAUCACUCAGAGACUGAUGGACCUGCUGUAUAUUUGGAGUUAUGAAUCUGCAGUUCUUGUCAGCAAGAAUUGAAGAAUCAGCUGUGAUUAACAAGUGACCCAAACCAAUAAAGUGAACCUUUGCCUCACUGGGAUAAUAGAUACUGGUCAACUGGAGCUAAGAAAUUAGCGAUGAUUCAGAAAGACCAGCAUCACUGAGGUGAAAUCUCUGGGAAGUGCUUCCUGGGAGUCAGCACACAGAAGCUGUGUUCCAGAGGUGGCCAAAGCUGUACACUUAGUAAUGGAAGCGUCACCGUGGUGGGACUGGUUUUGAAGGCAAGAAGGGUCAUGGAAAGCAGCUGGGUUUGGCCCAGGAGUGGCCACUGGUGAAAAUGCAGCCUCAGGAGCAGCUGAAGCUCCAGGACUGAAGGGGUCAUGCAGAGAAUUUGAGUCUUGGCACGAGGAAGAGCCCUGAGGAGGCUCCUGGUGGAGAGCACCCCAGCUGCAGCAGGAGACCCCGGCGUUUUGGAGAUGCCGGUACCAUGGGAAGAUCACCAAGAACAGCAGCAUUGGUGGACUGGAGUCAUCUGGAGCCUAGAAAACAAGCUGCGUGUGCUGCAGAGGGCAGAGCCAGAGAAGUGACUCUGGAGGAGCCCAGAAGAUAGGUCUCACCAUGUAGCUCUGGCUGUCCUGGAGCUAGCUCUGUAGACCAGACUGACCUCAAAUUCACAGAGAUCUGCCUGCUUCUCUGCCUGGGACUAAAGGCAUGUGCCACCACUGCCUGGCAAGGCUGAAUAUUUUAUGACAGAAGAGGACACCAGAUGCCACUGUAGAUGGUUGUGAGCUACCAUGUGGUUGCUGGAAAUUGAACUCAGGACCUCUGGAAGAGCAGCCAGUGCUCUUAACUGCUGAGCCAUCUCUCCAGCCCCAGUUGAAAAUUUUAAAGAGACUGGGUUUUUUGUGUCUGUUUGUUUGAAUUUUUAAAGACUGUGGGACUUUUAAACUUUGGAAUGUUUAUAUUGUAAUGUUGAUAUUCCUGUGUGAUCUUGGGGAUGAACAAGAAAGGAAAGGUUAUAGUUUAGCAGUGAUUGUUUGUCAAGUUGACAAGGGAUCAAUUGUGCUGGCUAGUUUUAUGUCAAUUUGACACAAACUAGGUCAUCUGAAAGGAGGGCAUCUCAUUGUAGAAAAUGCCCCUAAAAUACCUGGUUGUAGGCACUCUCUUAAUUAGAGACUGAUGGGGGAAGGCCCAGCCCAUGGUGGGUGAUGCCAUCCCUGGGCUGGUGGUCCUGGGUUCUACAAGAAGCCAUGAUGAGCAAGCCAGUACGAGGCACUGGUCCAUGGCCUCUGCACCAGUUCCUGCCUCCAGGUUCCCUCUGUGCUUGAGAGUUCCCAGUCAUGACAUCCUUCAAGGAUGGACUCUGAUGUGGAAGUGCUAGCCAAAACCCCUUUCCUCCACAACGUGUUUUCGUCAUGGUGUUUCAUCAUAGCAAUAGUAACUAAGACAUUGACUUUGGAAUAGAGAUAUAGGUAUAUAGAUAUUGAGACAGUGUCUCACUAUAUAGCCCUGCUGGCCUCAAAUUCACAAAGACCCACCUGUCUCUACCUCCUGAGUGCUAGGAUUAAAGGCCUGUGCCACCACAUCCAGAUUAUCAUUUUAAUGUUUGUGUGUGCCCGUGCACAUGGGUGUAUGCACACGCAUGUGUCAUGCUCUAUGUGUGGAAGUCAAAGACAACUUCUCUCCUCCCACUCUGUGGGCUCCUGGGUCCAAAUUCAGGUCAUCAGGCUUGUCAGCAAGUGCCUUUACCUACUGAGCCAUCUCACUAUCCCAACCUUGGGCCUUUUGUCUAAAUCUGAAUUCCCCUCUCUCCACUGCUCUGGCUUGACUCUACAAGUUUUGCAUGCUUUAUUUUUAUUUCUAUGGGCUUAGCAGUGUCUUCUAAUCCCCUUCAUGAUUUAUUCUUUGACCGGAUGUGAUUUAGGAGUGGGUUUUUGGGUUCCGAAUAGUCAUGCUUUUCCUAUAAGUAUUUCUGACUUUGUCUUCCGAGUUCCCACAGGAUACCCGUGUUCCUUGACUCCUAGACCUCUACAUUUUCCAACCCAGGAGUCUUGUCAGUUCUGUGCCCCCUGCCAUCACUGCAUCUGCUCCUAUUCUUUGUCUCUCUCUUUCCUUCAUAAGAACCCUUACCGAGUUGGGGCACUUGAAUGAAGCCGAGUCCUCUCCAUCAUGGGCUCUUCAGCUUAAGUCUCUCUGGUAAGUCACAGGCACAGGAACUGGGAUGCUGUGCCGGUUGUUUCUCUGUUACUAUGAUAAAAUGACAUGACCGAGAGCCACUUACAGAGGGACAAAUGUUUAUUUUGGCUUGUAGUUCCAGAGGGGGAGUUCAUGAUGUCAGGGGAAGCAGUGCCCAGUUAAGAACACUGGCUGCUCUUCCAGGGGACCUGGGUUCAAUUCCCAGAUCCCACACGAUGGCUGACAAUCAUCUGUAACUCCAGUUCCAGGGGAUUCAACAUCUUCUAAGAGUAUGGCGUGCUCAUGAUGUACACACAUACAUGCAGGCAAAAACUCAUACACAUAAACUAAAAAGAAAUCUCAAAAACCCCUAAACAAAAGCACAAAAAACAGUAUAAAAAAAUAAGAUGAUGCUAACACUUGUUACCAAGUGUUGUCGAGUGGGUUGUACCUGUGCUAUUUUCUGGUCAUACUGAAGAUGCUCACAGGAGAAAUACAAGAAUGAAUGAAUGAAUGAAUGAGAGCUGGGAAACAGGGAUUGUGUUGUGAC